AGUGAACGCUGGCGGUAGGCCUAACACAUGCAAGUCGAACGGCAGCACAGUAAGAGCUUGCUCUUACGGGUGGCGAGUGGCGGACGGGUGAGGAAUACAUCGGAAUCUACUUUUUCGUGGGGGAUAACGUAGGGAAACUUACGCUAAUACCGCAUACGACCUACGGGUGAAAGCAGGGGAUCUUCGGACCUUGCGCGAUUGAAUGAGCCGAUGUCGGAUUAGCUAGUUGGUGGGGUAAAGGCCCACCAAGGCGACGAUCCGUAGCUGGUCUGAGAGGAUGAUCAGCCACACUGGAACUGAGACACGGUCCAGACUCCUACGGGAGGCAGCAGUGGGGAUUAUUGGACAAUGGGCGCAAGCCUGAUCCAGCCAUACCGCGUGGGUGAAGAAGGCCUUCGGGUUGUAAAGCCCUUUUGUUGGGAAAGAAAAGCAGCAGGUUAAUACCCCGCUGUUCUGACGGUACCCAAAGAAUAAGCACCGGCUAACUUCGUG
Molecule: ribosomal RNA, 492 nt
Filed under: uncultured bacterium
Lineage: Bacteria
Description: partial 16S ribosomal RNA
Rfam family: Bacterial small subunit ribosomal RNA
Source: RNAcentral